UACAGAGGGUGCAAGCGUUGUUCGGAAUUAUUGGGCGUAAAGCGCGUGUAGGCGGCUUUGCAAGUCGGGUGUGAAAGCCCUCAGCUCAACUGAGGAAGUGCGCCCGAAACUGCAGAGCUUGAGUACCGGAGAGGGUAGUGGAAUUCCCGGUGUAGUGGUGAAAUGCGUAGAUAUCGGGAGGAACACCAGUGGCGAAGGCGACUACCUGGCCUGUUCUUGACGCUGAGGCGCGAAAGCUAGGGGAGCAAACGGG
RNAcentral lists this ribosomal RNA (253 nucleotides) under uncultured bacterium. Its description in RNAcentral is "partial 16S ribosomal RNA". It matches the Rfam family "Bacterial small subunit ribosomal RNA", at positions 524 to 776 of the family's 1533-position model. The record is from RNAcentral.